CUCAUGCCCAGAUCCUUUCUCACAGGCUGGGGCAGAGCCCAAGGCCAGGAUAAAAGGGCCUUGGGGACUGAGGCCUUCCAUACACUCCUCUCCUGAGGUGCUGACGGACCUUGUGCUGCCUGUGCACCGCUCCUGUCCCUGCCUGCAGAGAUGUCCUGCCAGCAGAACCAGCAGCAGUGCCAGCCCCCUCCCAAAUGCCCCCCCAAGUGUCCUGCCCCCAAGUGCCCCCCCAAGUGUCCCCCAAAGUGCCCUCCAGUCUCUUCCUGCUGUGGCUCCAGCUCUGGGGGUGGAGGCUGCUGUAGCUCUGGGGGCGGGGGCUGUUGUAGCUCUGGGGGUGGUGGCUGCUGUAGCUCUGGGGGUGGUGGCUGCUGUCUGAGCCACCACAGGCGACGCAGAUCCCACCGCCACAGGCACCAGAGCUCUGACUGCUGCAGCCAGCCCUUGGGGGGCUCCAGCUGCUGUGGAGGGAGCAGUCAGUCAUCUGGAGGCUGCUGCUGAAGUGGAUUCUGAGCCAAGAAGAGCAGAUUUGGGGGCAGCCAAUGCCAAAUCCUUCCUCCUGCUCCUGCUCCUCCUGCUGGACCUACCCAUGUGGCUGAGGGGUCUGACCUCUGGCCCAGAGGAUCGCUGUGUCCUGGUGUCCGGAAGCCAGAACUUCCCCGAACCCAUUCACUCACCUUCUCGCCCAAAUGUGUGGCUGCCCUGGGAACCCAGAGUACAGACCCAACGUCCUUCUUCUGCUUACCUUGUGGCAAACCCAGCCUAAUGGGAAACAAUAAAACUAGAACUCUUCGUUCCUUCUUUUGCCUCUAUUUCUGCUCUUCUUGGCUCAGAAUCCACUUCAGCAGCAGCCUCCAGAUGACUGACUGCUCCCUCCACAGCAGCUGGAGCCCCCCAAGGGCUGGCUGCAGCAGUCAGAGCUCUGGUGCCUGUGGCGGUGGGAUCUGCGUCGCCUGUGGUGGCUCAGACAGCAGCCACCACCCCCAGAGCUACAGCAGCCACCACCCCCAGAGCUACAACAGCCCCCGCCCCCAGAGCUACAGCAGCCUCCACCCCCAGAGCUGGAGCCACAGCAGGAAGAGACUGGAGGGCACUUUGGGGGACACUUGGGGGGGCACUUGGGGCAGGACACUUGGGGGGGCAUUUGGGAGGGGGCUGGCACUGCUGCUGGUUCUGCUGGCAGGACAUCUCUGCAGGCAGGGUCAGGAGCUGAGGGAGAGUCACACAGUCAGACCCAGGACACAGAGCCCAGAGCCCCACCCCUUCCUGUUUUCAGUAUCAUUUCUAGCGCCUUAUUUUGAAAGUCUUGAGAUCAGACAUAAAAUCAUCUCUGACAUUUUUAUCACUCUUACUGGUGUACCACGUGUCUUCUUUCACACAGUCACAUUUCAAACCCCAUUUGUCAACAAUGUCACCUCCAAAUAUAUAAAGAAAGUUGAUGCUCAUUACCACUUCCUUGGUGUCAGAGAAAAAGACAUGAAAUAAAUUGACCCCAGGCCAGCAUUCAUUUUCCCGUGUCACCAAGAAUCUUGCAAACAUCCAGUUUAGGGACCAUUUUAGCACAGAAAGCCUCUUCAAGGAAAAAGCAAAAACAUUCUCUCUUGGAAGGAUUUCUGAUAUGUUUUUGGUUUUGCAGAAUAUAGAAAAUCACAAUUGCAAAGGGCCUUGGAGUUAAUUUGUCCCAACCGACUCAAUUUAUAAAUGAAGAAACUGAAAGGAAAAGAGGCAAAUCCACUAUCCCAGUGCUAUUCACUAGCUUGUCACAGUUCCGUUCUCAGACUCCUCGACUCCCAACCCAGUGCUCUAAUCCAUGUAGUCCCCCUCCCACGGCCUGUUUUCCAGGAACAUCCCGGGGCUUCUCAGCUCCAGUGUGCCCUCAAUUCCCAAGAAUUCUUGUUGGAAUCUAAACAGAUCCACAGGUGUCUCUGAUUCUCUCUUCUCUUAAGUACCAACAUCCUCAACACACUGUUCCUGCACUUGGGCCCAGCUGUAUUUCCAAAACUAUAUUCCCACUAUGUAACCCACUCUAGCAUAAUCUAGCCAUCAAUGUUUUUAUUUUAUUUCCUAACACCAGAGAAACACACCCAGCUACUGCUGUCUCUAAAACUCUAGCGUAUAGCACACAAAUCUUCCCAGUUGCUUUCGGUCUUUCUCACCCAUCCCACCCUGGCCCUCCUGAUUCAGAUUUUCUGGGUCCUCAUCCUUGUCCUUCAAACCAGAGCCCAAGCCUCUGUCCCCUGCUCUGUCUGAGCUCCCUCUGUAGAAGGCUCUGCUCUCUUUCCCAGGGGCACUUACCGGUGCACAGGCAGCACUGGGUCUGUCAGUACCUCAGGAGAGGAGUGCAUGGAGGGGCUCUGUUCCCAAGUCCCUUUUAUCCUGGCCUUGGGCUCUGCCCCAGCCUGUGAGACAGGACCUGGGGAUGACAGGACCGCCUCCUGCCACCCACAUGGUCCUGUGACAGGUGAUGAGUGGCAGCUCCUCCCUG
Molecule: long non-coding RNA, 2482 nt
Filed under: Felis catus (domestic cat)
Lineage: Eukaryota; Metazoa; Chordata; Mammalia; Carnivora; Felidae
Description: lncRNA (ENSFCAG00000048940.1)
Source: RNAcentral